RNAcentral lists this long non-coding RNA (574 nucleotides) under Ovis aries (sheep). RNAcentral describes it as "lncRNA (ENSOARG00000025247.1)". Lineage: Eukaryota; Metazoa; Chordata; Mammalia; Artiodactyla; Bovidae. The record is from RNAcentral.
GGUCCUUUUUCUCUCUGAACAUCGGAUAUUGUCAACAUGAGCCGUAGUCCGGAGGGUGAGCUGUUAAGCUGGGAUAACAAGGAGCUCUCAGAGCAUUUGGAGCCUUGGCACCUACAUGGCAAUUUUGAAGCUUUUCUUUUUAAAACGGGGUUUCAAGACAAUCUCCCGCCAUCUCCACUUACUCCUGAGUAAGAGGAUUCUAAUGAAGCCGCCGUGGGUGAUGAGGCUCAGCCCCGCGGUCCUCUCCUGCAGGGACUGUUUCUGCUGCCUGGUUGUUAGCGGGGCAACUGCCGUCUUUAUCUUUGGGAUCUGCAGGGAAAGAUGCUCAGAGAGGGAGGCUAACAAGGAAAGUGUGAGUCCUACUAAGCAGACCGGAAAGCUUGGUCGUUUGAAAACAAUCCCCUUUCCUUGCCUUGGUUUUGGCAAUGAUAGGCUUAUCAAGGAGACUCGGGGAGGAGGAGGAGGAGAGAGGUAUGUAUCUUUUAGGGAAGAUGGUGGAAAGCAGAGAAAUGAGGGAAGCCUGAUUCUUGGCAGCAGGACAACAAGGUUGGCAAAGUUGUCUGCCCCUGACUGA